GACGAACGCUGGCGGCGUGCUUAACACAUGCAAGUCGAACGGAAAGGCCCUGCUUUUGUGGGGUGCUCGAGUGGCGAACGGGUGAGUAACACGUGAGUAACCUGCCCUUUACUUUGGGAUAACUUCAGGAAACUGGGGCUAAUACCGGAUAGGAGCUCCUGCUGCAUGGUGUGGGUUGGAAAGUUUCGGCGGUUGGGGAUGGACUCGCGGCUUAUCAGCUUGUUGGUGGGGUAGUGGCUUACCAAGGCUUUGACGGGUAGCCGGCCUGUGAGGGUGACCGGCCAAAUUGGGACUGAGAUACGGACCAGACUCCUACGGGAGGCAGCAGUGGGGAAUAUUGCACAAUGGGCGGAAGCCUGAUGCAGCAACGCCGCGUGCGGGAUGACGGCCUUCGGGUUGUAAACCGCUUUCGCAUGUGACGAAGCGUGAGUGACGGUAAUGGGUAAAGAAGCACCGGCUAACUACGUG
This 468-nucleotide ribosomal RNA is filed under the name uncultured bacterium. RNAcentral describes it as "partial 16S ribosomal RNA". It matches the Rfam family "Bacterial small subunit ribosomal RNA", at positions 28 to 507 of the family's 1533-position model. The record is from RNAcentral.